GGAAGGGUGUCCGAGCGGUUUAAGGAGCUGGUCUUGAAAACCAGUGACUCGCAAGAGCCGUGGGUUCGAAUCCCACCCCUUCCGCCA
RNAcentral lists this transfer RNA (87 nucleotides) under Bacillota bacterium. Its description in RNAcentral is "Firmicutes bacterium (anaerobic digester metagenome) tRNA-Ser". It matches the Rfam family "tRNA". From Rfam's summary of the family: Transfer RNA (tRNA) molecules are approximately 80 nucleotides in length. Their secondary structure includes four short double-helical elements and three loops (D, anti-codon, and T loops). Further hydrogen bonds mediate the characteristic L-shaped molecular structure. tRNAs have two regions of fundamental functional importance: the anti-codon, which is responsible for specific mRNA codon recognition, and the 3' end, to which the tRNAs corresponding amino acid is attached (by aminoacyl-tRNA synthetases). tRNAs cope with the degeneracy of the genetic code in two manners: having more than one tRNA (with a specific anti-codon) for a particular amino acid; and 'wobble' base-pairing, i.e. permitting non-standard base-pairing at the 3rd anti-codon position. RNAcentral also lists the same sequence under 1 other name. The record is from RNAcentral. Lineage: Bacteria; Bacillati; Bacillota.